GAUUAAGAACGUAGCGAAAUGCGAUACUUGGUGUGAAUUGCAGAAUCCCGUGAACCAUCGAGUCUUUGAACGCAAGUUGCGCCCGAAGCCAUCAGGUUGAGGGCACGUCUGCCUGGGCGUCACAUAUCGUUGCCCAAUGCCUAUUGCAGUGCAAUAGGAAUUUCUAGGGCGAAUGAUGGCUUCCCGUGAGCGUUGUUGCCUCGCGGUUGGUUGAAAAUCGAGUCCUUGGUAGGGUGUGCCAUGGUAGAUGGUGGUCGAGUUAGAACGAUACCGAUCAUGUGCAUGCUCCCCAAAAUAUGGCCUCUAUGACCCACACGCGUCUUUUGACGCUCAUGACGAGACCUCAGGUCAGGCGGGGCUACCCGCUGAAUUUAAGCAUAUCAAUAAGCGGAGGA
Molecule: unclassified non-coding RNA, 395 nt
Filed under: soil metagenome
Description: partial contains 5.8S ribosomal RNA, internal transcribed spacer 2, and large subunit ribosomal RNA
Rfam family: 5.8S ribosomal RNA (bases 1-122)
Source: RNAcentral